CAGCAUUCUUAAACCCUCUUGGUAGCCUUGCUGAAGACGCUUCCAAGAUAUGAGUGAAUGCGACAGAAAACUGCAGGUUAAUCCAAAAUGCUGAGUUUUCUUCUGACUUGGCAUUAUUUCAAAUCUGUGACAAUUU
Molecule: small nucleolar RNA, 136 nt
Filed under: Notamacropus eugenii (tammar wallaby)
Lineage: Eukaryota; Metazoa; Chordata; Mammalia; Diprotodontia; Macropodidae
Description: Small nucleolar RNA SNORA14 (ENSMEUG00000017675.1)
Rfam family: Small nucleolar RNA SNORA14
About the family: ACA14 is a member of the H/ACA class of snoRNA that guide the sites of modification of uridines to pseudouridines.
Source: RNAcentral